AUUGAACGCUGGCGGCAGGCCUAACACAUGCAAGUCGAGCGAUCGGCGGACGGGUGAGUAAUGUAUGGGGACUGCCCGAUAUAGGGGGAUAACUACUGGAAACGGUAGCUAAUACCGCAUACUAUCGGAUAACCCAUAUGGGAUUAGCUAGUAGGUGGGGUAAUGGCUCACCUAGGCGACGAUCCCUAGCUUGUAUGAGAGGAUGAUCAGACACACUGGGACUGAGACACGGCCCAGACUCCUACGGAGGCAGCAGGGGGGAAUAUUGCACAAUGGGCGCAAGCCUGAUGCAGCCAUGCCGCGUGUAUGAAGAAGGCCCUAGGGUUGUAAAGUACUUCCAGUCGGGAGGCGUUACCGACAGAAGAAGCACCGGCUAACUCCGUGCCAGCAGCCGCGGUAAUUC
This 403-nucleotide ribosomal RNA is filed under the name uncultured bacterium. RNAcentral describes it as "partial 16S ribosomal RNA". It matches the Rfam family "Bacterial small subunit ribosomal RNA", at positions 30 to 526 of the family's 1533-position model. The record is from RNAcentral.